UACGGGGGGGGUAAGGGUUGUUCGGAAUUACGGGGGGUAAAGGGCUCGUAGGCGGCCAACUAAGUCAUACGUGAAAUCCCUCAGCUUAACUGGGGAACUGCGUGUGAUACUGGAUGGCUUGGAUUUGGGAGAGGGAUGCGGAAUUCCAGGUGUAGCGGUGAAAUGCGUAGAUAUCUGGAGGAACACCGGUGGCGAAGGCGGCAUCCUGGACCAAUAUUGACGCUGAGGAGCGAAAGCCAGGGGAGCAAACGGG
Molecule: ribosomal RNA, 253 nt
Filed under: uncultured bacterium
Lineage: Bacteria
Description: partial 16S ribosomal RNA
Rfam family: Bacterial small subunit ribosomal RNA
Source: RNAcentral